This 555-nucleotide ribosomal RNA is filed under the name uncultured fungus. RNAcentral describes it as "eukaryotic LSU rRNA". The stretch from base 207 to 359 matches the Rfam family "5.8S ribosomal RNA". Lineage: Eukaryota; Fungi. The record is from RNAcentral.
AAGUCGUAACAAGGUCUCCGUUGGUGAACCAGCGGAGGGAUCAUUACAGAGUUGCAAAACUCCCAAACCAUUGUGAACGUUACCAUUAUCGUUGCUUCGGCGGCGGCGCCCAGCGCUCCCAGGCCCCCUCGCGGGGCGCCCGCCGGAGGUUACCUAACUCUUGACAACUGUAUGGCCUCUCUGAGUCUCUAUACUUAAUAAGUUAAAACUUUCAACAACGGAUCUCUUGGUUCUGGCAUCGAUGAAGAACGCAGCGAAAUGCGAUAAGUAAUGUGAUUGCAGAAUUCAGUGAAUCAUCGAAUCUUUGAACGCACAUUGCGCCCGCCAGUAUUCUGGCGGGCAUGCCUGUUCGAGCGUCAUUUCAACCAUCAAGCCCCAGGCUUGUGUUGGGGACCUGCGGCUGCCGCAGGCCCUGAAAACCAGUGGCGGGCUCGCUAGUCACACCGAGCGUAGUAGCAUACACAUCGCUCAGGGCGUGCUGCGGGUUCCGGCCGUUAAACCCCUUUUUUACCCAAGGUUGACCUCGGAUCAGGUAGGAAGACCCGCUGAACUUAA